This 374-nucleotide ribosomal RNA is filed under the name uncultured organism. RNAcentral describes it as "partial 16S ribosomal RNA". It matches the Rfam family "Bacterial small subunit ribosomal RNA", at positions 527 to 896 of the family's 1533-position model. The record is from RNAcentral.
GGGGGGGGCAAGCGUUUGUUCGGAUUUACUGGGCGUAAAGGGCUCGUAGGCGGCCUCUUAAGUCGGUUGUGAAAUCCCUCGGCUCAACCGGGGAACUGCGAUCGAUACUGAAUGGCUUGAAGCCGGGAGAGGGAUGCGGAAUUCCAGGUGUAGCGGUGAAAUGCGUAGAUAUCUGGAGGAACACCCGUGGCGAAGGCGGCAUCCUGGACCGGUCUUGACGCUGAGGAGCGAAAGCUAGGGUAGCAAACGGGAUUAGAUACCCCGGGUAGUCCUAGCCGUAAACGAUGAAUGCUUGGUGUGGCGGGUAUCGAUCCCCUGCCGUGCCGUAGCUAACGCGUUAAGCAUUCCGCCUGGGGAGUACGGUCGCAAGGCUG